GUGCUCGCUUCGGCAGCACAUAUACUAAAAUUGGAACGAUACAGAGAUGAUUAGCAUGGCCCCUGCUCAAGGAUGACACACAAAUUCGUGAAGCGUUCCAUAUGUUU
This 107-nucleotide small nuclear RNA is filed under the name Capra hircus (goat). Lineage: Eukaryota; Metazoa; Chordata; Mammalia; Artiodactyla; Bovidae. The record is from RNAcentral.